This is a non-coding RNA of Zootermopsis nevadensis, 73 nucleotides long. The record is from Rfam. NCBI's taxonomy places the organism in Eukaryota, Metazoa, Arthropoda, Insecta, Blattodea, Termopsidae.
GCCACGGUGGUCUAGCGGUUAGAACGCUGACUUUGUAAUCCUGGGGUCUCGGGUUCGAUUCCCGGCGGUGCCC